Molecule: ribosomal RNA, 457 nt
Filed under: Brachyspira pilosicoli
Lineage: Bacteria; Pseudomonadati; Spirochaetota; Spirochaetia; Brachyspirales; Brachyspiraceae
Description: bacterial SSU rRNA
Rfam family: Bacterial small subunit ribosomal RNA
Source: RNAcentral
CGGGGCACUGGAUAGUUAGCGGCGAACUGGUGAGUAACACGUAGGUAAUCUGCCGUGAAGUGGGGGAUAACCCAUGGAAACAUGGACUAAUACCGCAUAUACUCUUGCUACAUAAGUAGAGGAGAGGAAAGUUUUUUCGCUUCACGAUGAGCUUGCGGCCUAUUAGCCUGUUGGUAGGGUAAUGGCCUACCAAAGCUACGAUAGGUAGCCGACCUGAGAGGGUGACCGGCCACAUUGGGACUGAGAUACGGCCCAGACUCCUACGGGAGGCAGCAGCUGAGAAUCUUCCACAAUGGACGAAAGUCUGAUGGAGCGACAUCGCGUGAGGGAUGAAGGCCUUCGGGUUGUAAACCUCGGAAAUUAUCGAAGAAUGAGUGACAGUAGAUAAUGUAAGCCUCGGCUAACUACGUGCCAGCAGCCGCGGUAAUACGUAGGAGGCAAACGUUGCACGGAUUUA